RNAcentral lists this long non-coding RNA (3947 nucleotides) under Felis catus (domestic cat). RNAcentral's name for it is "lncRNA (ENSFCAG00000047175.1)". The record is from RNAcentral. Lineage: Eukaryota; Metazoa; Chordata; Mammalia; Carnivora; Felidae.
GCGCUUACCGCAAGGUUCCGCCCCUCGGCGGGCGCAGACAAUGGGGUCGCUGUGCCCGGCCGCCCCCUCCCCUCGCUCGGCGGCCCGCGCCCGCCCCCUCUCCCCAAAGCUGCUUUCAAUUUAAACGCCUCCAACCAGCGGGCGCUGCCCCGGGGGGCGCGACCGCAGCGCCGAGCGCCCCUGUAAUUUCCGCGGGGAGCUGACCGGCUCAAACACGGCCCCGCGGUGCCCCGACCGCAGGCCCCGAGACCGGAGACGGCGCCCAGACAGCCUUGCCCGGGUCGUGGGAGCGCCGCUGGGGCGGCCUCCUCGCGCGGCGCCCCGCCGCCUCCUCCAGGCAGCCCACCGCCACCCCGGGGAGCCGCUCCUCCGGGAAGCCUGCGUGCCUUCCCCAAAGUGAUGCUCCCUUGGGGCCCCUCACACCUCUGCAAGCUCAGCCCCCUUUGGGGGAGCGGGGAGGAGACGACGGGGUCAGGAGUGUCCGUUCUCUUAAUGUGCACUGUGUCUCCCGCAUCAGACUGGAGGCGACCUGAGGGCAGGGGUUCUUUCUUUGCAGACUGGGGGAACGUGAGUGAACUGACCUAUAGUUCCUGCUUGGCCUGCUGAGAAACUGGGAAGAAGGCCCUGCCUGAAUGGUCUCAGAGGAGUGGGUGGGUGUGGACACAGUGAAUUUGCCUGCAGAUCCCCUGGCUGUACCCAGGCGGGGCCAAAAGGGUAGCUGCACGCGAGGAAGAAUUUUCCGAGUGCUGGUUAAGAGGCUCCAAGGACUUGUCCAGGUUGGGCCCUGAGUGGUGCCGGUGAACAUACGUGCCAAGGCUCCCUUCUGGCCUAAAGCACUUCCUCUGUGCCCUGCUGCUUUCUGCCUAGAAGUUGUGCCCACCUACCCUCCCUCCCCAGAACUUUGGAGGGGACGUGUUUUGCUAGUACAUGAGGGCCAGGGCCCGUGCUGGCACAGGAAGUAGACCGGUCCCUGCCCUCAUGGAGCAGCUCCUGGGACUCAGGUCAGUGUGGAUGGACAUUGCAGGGGGAACGACAGAGGUCCCCUCUGGGAUCACAAACCACUCCAGGGAGGCCCUCCCUUGCCACCGGAUGCAAAGGAUCCAGGGGGGCUUGGAAGCCUGUGAGGGGUGUCCUGACUUCUGCACUCCUUACCUGGCAUGGUGUCCGGUCCCACCUCCCACCCGGCCGACCCUGCUCUGUCUCCCUGUCCUGCCCUCCUGCCCUCCUCCUGUGGCUGUUUCCUCCAUCCACGUCGUUCUCCCCGCUUCUUUGCCUGGGGUCCCUCAGCAGCGCAGAGACCCUCGGUCUGCACCCCUCAGUCACCUCCCUAGGGUUCAAGGUCCCAAGCCAAGAGAAGCCUCAGAGACUGCGGACAUCAACUCCUCCUCCCGAAUGUGGGGUGGGGGCGGGGAAGCCAGCAGUGGGGCUCUGAACUGGACCCUAGUCUUUGACUUCCGGCCCAGCACUCUUUCUGGGGACCCCUCCUUGACCUGCACCUGAAGGCAGCGUAGGUCCAUUCCUUCCUCUAUCCUUUCACGGUGCCCAGAGGACAGAGGAGCGAACGGGGUCUCCGCCAUCGUGUCCUCCUGCCCUGCCCCAGUAGCCUGGGCCCAGAGACUGGGCAGUGGGGUGGGAGGGCUCGGAGAAGGGCUCGGUUGAGGGUCUCUAAUUUGCUCCUGCCCCUUGAUGUCCAGAGGAACACAAGCCGCCUGUGCCCAAGAGAUUUCCAAGCAUAAACGGAGGUCAAUGCCCCCCUCGCCUGCCCCGGAGGUGCCAAGGUGGUAAUUAGGCUUGGGGGUGGGUCCUGGAAGGGUGGGGGUGGCGUGGCCAUUAUCCCCAGGAGCUGAGCUGGGCAGGAGCUGUGUGGUCCAGGCAAAUGGGUGGUUUGUAGGUGGUCUGGAGAAUGAAUGAGUGAGUGUUUGGGAGGGAGGCCGGUGGGGAGGGAGCGGGGCGGGGUGGGGGUAGGGUGUGGGGAGGCAGCAGACAGAUUGGAGAGCAAAGCUGGGUAGUCGAGCCCUGGACUCACUGGUCUGGGCCCCUGCCCAUGCUCUGAGGCAUCAGCAAAGAGAGGACCGUGAGGCAGAUGGUGGGUCCCAGGGAAGCUUGCCCCUGGGCUGCUUCAGGAGGGGUGAGGGGAGAUGGGUGGAGGCCAUUCAGUGCAGCGUCCUUGGCAUGCGGUGGGGCGCUGGCCUGUGGCCCCUCCGUCCCCAUUCCCAGCCCAUGCCUAAUCCCUCUCCCCGUAGGGAAAAAUUCCUUGUUGGGCUGAGAAGGUCCUUCGAUUGGACCCCUGUCCCCGUCUCAACCUCAUGGGGGCUCUAGGUCCCCAAGAAGAUCUCUCUCUCUGACCCCCAGGAUCCUCUCACCCGCUCCUUCUCCAUAUCCGGCUGCACAAGGUAGACUGUAUCAGUUGACCUCAUCGCCCUGAGCCUUGGUUUCCUUACCUGUAAAAUGCGAGUAAUACAGCAUUUAACUGUGCAGAUGAAAUAAGCCAGUCCAAGGCCAGUGUUCCUAAAAUGGCAGUCUCAGCAAUGACUAAUGGCCCACAAGAUGCCCCGCUUGUCAGGAGGCCAGGGCUCCUCCCGGGAAGGGGUACCUAAAACCCAGGACUUGGCCGUGACCCCCGGUAUGGGGACCAGGACCCAGGCGGGCCGGCAGUGGUGUGAGCAGGUCACGGGGAAGGGGUGGGGUUGAUGGGACUGUCGGGUGGCAUCCUGCCUGGCCCCAGGCACAUUCCUCCUCCCCCGCUGCUCUCCCCACCUGCUGGCUGCCACCUGAACAGCUCACCUGGCCUCUGGAGCAAGAGAGAGUGCAGUGAGACGACCAUACAGGGCUCCUCCGAGGAGAGGAAUGAACUGAGGGCACGGGUGUGACCGGGACCGCCUGCUGAGGCUCCCUAGCUGCUGCCCUACAUGGAGGGGCUAAGCAUCUAAGUCCCGGUUUCAAUCCCAACACCCGGGGAGUAUCCUUCCCACAGGGGCUAGGCCAGACUGGGGGGGGGGGGGGCUCCCAGAGGCAGGAGUUGGGCUCUUACCAUCAGGUGGGAGGAUUCGUGAAGGGAGAGCUUAUCCUAACCUGGGCCCAAGGGGGCUAGGCUGGGGUUGGAUGGGUCAGCCUGGCACCUUCACGGGGUCAGCAGUCUCACCCCACUCCUUGCUCAGACCCCAAAUUCUCUACUAAUGGGAAAGUCCCCGGGGGAGCUGGAGAGCUUUGGAAAACCUGGGGAACGGCCCGCUGCCCUGUGAUCUGGAAACCGGUGAGGUAGGGGAGGGCCGUGUGUGUGCGCGCGCGCGCGCGCAGGCAGUCUCUGGAUCAGGGUCAUUCCCAAAUCAAUCUCCCUCCUCCUUUCCCUCCUUAAAUCCACGCAGGCUAACCCCUUCUCUCCCUCUGUUCUCUGCGCCGCCCCCCCCCCCCCCGCCCAGAAUCCUUGGCAUUUAUUGGUAGGGGUGCCACCAAGGGAGAAAGACGGCAACCUUCCUCCCUCUGACCUGCGGUCAGGCCAACCGAGCAGCCUGCAGGGGGCAGGCUGGGGUGGUUGGGACCAUGUGGCAGGGGGUGGGAUGCCGAUGACAUUCACAGCUUCCAGACACCGGCACCCAGUCUCCUAUCAGGACCUCUCCACUCUAUCCAAAUAUGGAUCGCUGGAGGGGUGGGGGGGACGUUUGAGAGAUCAGGGAGGAGGAGAGCUGAGCCAAAUGGAUUCUGGAAGGAUUCUGAGGCACUUCGGAAGUAUCUGUUGGGAGUCAUUCAGCCUGAGAGCGGACAGAGCCUGGGCAGAGGGACAAGCAGAAGACCAUCUCGCCCACCCCUGGCUUCCUCGCCAAACCUCACUAAUACCUCUCGGAGAAGGUCUCCUGAUUUAAGGUCUACGUCCACGAGUAUUCAAUGCAGCGGGCUCCACAUCCCCACCACAAAAAUAAAAACACUUCUGGGGGCGCCUAGGUGGCUCA